UUUAUAUUCACAAAAUUAUCCACCUUAAGCUGUAUGAAAAUGGAUUAUGGCUUUCUUUUUAUCGAGCUUGUUCAUGAAUGAUGAUUCUAAGAAUUUUUUGUGACUAUCCAUUAUCUAUUACCCAUUUGAUAAUUCUCGGUGACCAACCAAAGCUCUUACAUGGCCUUUAAUGUAUGCAAAAGAGUACUACUUUAUGUAAUCCAUAUACCGUCAUCUAAUUUCUGGCUAGCAUGUGAAUUUACUUCAGAUAUACAUAUUUAUUUUAUGUUCUCAAUGCUAAACGGGGUAUGAAUAUGCUAAACGGGGUAUGAAUUGUAUCUCAUUUUGGAAGAUUCUUUAUGCUUACACUUGUUUGAUGGAGUUAUAUGUAUCUGCACAGGUUAUUUGUUCUCCUUAAGCUAUGCGAGGUUGAUAGUCUAGUACCAUAUUAAUGGGUGUUUUAUUUUUGUCUUAAUACUUAUAUAUAUUAGUACUGACAUAUUUC
This 484-nucleotide long non-coding RNA is filed under the name Gossypium barbadense (sea-island cotton). Its description in RNAcentral is "long non-coding RNA (GBAR_LNC018201)". Lineage: Eukaryota; Viridiplantae; Streptophyta; Magnoliopsida; Malvales; Malvaceae. The record is from RNAcentral.